AUGGAGGCGGAGGCAAAGGCGACCUGGGCGGCGGCGCCUGGCUCGGGAGCGGCGACUGCCGACGGGGGCUUCCCUGUAGAUCCGGUGUGCAGGUUGCCAAUCUUCCCAGGCGUGGCGGUCUCGGCGGGUUCGGUCCAAGAUGAAGUCAGCGAUGGUGCUGGCUGGAGGAGACGUUGGGUUGUUGCCUCUUCUGUGGCUGCCCAUGACAGCUGUGCCGCCGGCGCUGCCGAAUGCAGUGGAGAGAGCGCCCCAGCGGAGUCGGGAGAGUCAGCUGUGAAACCUGAUCCGAAAUCUGUAGGCUGGAUAAGAAGGGUACGAGUGGGCGCAAAUCCGAUAGAGCGUAUGCCUUGCCCUGGCAGGAUGGGAGCGCUUGAGAAGACUAUCAGGGGCUUCGUGGACAGGGAGGGUGAUGAAGUAGUCAAGCCAGAGUUAGGGACCACUUUCGAUUCCCUGACAGAGGCUUAUGAUUUUUACAAUAUGUAUUCGUGGGAACAUGGCUUCGGCAUUAGAUACGGAAAAACCAGGCUAAAUCCUGAUAAGAGGAAGACCAUGUAG
Molecule: ribosomal RNA, 555 nt
Filed under: Triticum aestivum (bread wheat)
Lineage: Eukaryota; Viridiplantae; Streptophyta; Magnoliopsida; Poales; Poaceae
Description: partial small subunit ribosomal RNA
Source: RNAcentral